Long non-coding RNA from Mauremys reevesii (Reeves's turtle), 1325 nucleotides. RefSeq lists it as uncharacterized. NCBI's taxonomy places the organism in Eukaryota, Metazoa, Chordata, Testudines, Geoemydidae. The record is from RefSeq and is a predicted model, not a curated record. The transcript has 4 exons.
CACCGAGCUAAGAAGGACUUAAUAAUGUUAACCAUUUCAUGGUUAGAUUGUUAUAUGAUGCUGGCUUAUACACUUCUGCUGCCUUUCACUGGUUGUUUCUGUGAAAGUAUCCAGGCCCUGAAAAAUCUCACCAAGCAAGUUGCAGCAGUGCUCCAGAAUACACCAUUGCAACUGUACCAGAAAUUACACUGGAAUAACAACAUUAGAUGGUAAAAAUAGAAGCACUAAGAAAAUGGAAUGUUUUCCUUACUGAAUGAUGUUUGCAGCUUCUCUUUAAGAUGUAUUGAAAGACCUGCCAUCUUGGUUCUGAUCUCCUUCAGAUUAAUCUCUUUUUGAAAAAAGAGCUACUUGCUUCGAAUGCUACCUGAACCAGGAAUCCAGAAGCACUUCACCUUAUGAAGCUCCUUGAGAAAAAAAUGGAAAAAACACACUCAAUAAUGGACAGUCUGCAUCCUGGCUACAUCCUCUAGAUGUGUCUUCUGACCUAUCAUCAACUCUCACUUGUGUGGAUUGAGCAUCAGUCAACUUGUCAUCCAUAGCUAUAUCUCUGAAAAGCACAGAGACAGCAUCAAUCAGGGAACAGAUUUGCCAAAAAAAGAAAGUGCAUAGAGCAAUUAACGUCAAGAGGUUUUCAGUGCAGUGAACAGGAAUUUGCAUCAGUGAGUCACAUUAUUAUAGUCCUAGUAGGUUAAUUGGACUGCAAUUUUGGUUCUCUUUAUGUGUUGCUAUCAAUGGAAGGUAGUAUGUAGGAGGUACUGCUCAACAAAUAAGCACAUAAAUGUUGCAGGAAAAAUAAAAAGAAAGACCAGAGACAGGCUUUUGGGUAGACAGGCAAACAAACAAACUGAUUCUUCCAAACUCAUCCAUGGAAAUGGUGUAUUAAAGUUUAUCAUCAAGCAAUUUGGUUUUUAUAGCCAAAGGGCAAUACACAGCACAACCUUUUCAUUCUUUCUAGCAUGGUGAAGCAGCCAAGAGUAUUUCCUUUGUGAAUAUGCUGCAGCCCGUGUAUUUCAAGAGCCAGAGUAAGAACAGGGAUAUAAAGCCUAAACCACCACUCUCUUUAUUCUGACAAGAUGGCUCCUGCAGACUCCGCACAUGCAGAACUGAAAUGUGUCUGCAUCCUGUGAGAGUGCCCCUAGUGAUUACACAUGACUAAUUUUAAAGAGACAGUACCACCGUCUACUACCCACAUGGUCCUUUUUUAAUGCAUUUUACUGAUAGCUCAGAAUACUUGAAUUGCAAAUUUCUGCUCCAGAUAUAGAUCCUGAACACCCCCAAAGAUUGGCAGCAUUUACAUUCAGGAUCUUGGUUUGAUUAUAAACAUA